UCCAGACUCCUACGGGAGGCAGCAGUGGGGGAUAUUGCACAAUGGGGGAAACCCUGAUGCAGCGACGCCGCGUGGGCGAAGAAGUAUUUCGGUAUGUAAAGCCCUAUCAGCAGGGAAGAAGAAAUGACGGUACCUGAGUAAGAAGCACCGGCUAAAUACGUGCCAGCAGCCGCGGUAAUACGUAUGGUGCAAGCGUUAUCCGGAUUUACUGGGUGUAAAGGGAGCGCAGGUGGCAAGGCAAGCCAGAAGUGAAAACCCGGGGCUUAACCCCGCGGAUUGCUUUUGGAACUGUCUGGCUGGAGUGCAGGAGGGGCAGGCGGAAUUCCUGGUGUAGCGGUGAAAUGCGUAGAUAUCAGGAGGAACACCGGUGGCGAAGGCGGCCUGCUGGACUGUAACUGACACUGAGGCUCGAAAGCGUGGGGAGCAAACAGGAUUAGAUACCCGCGUACU
RNAcentral lists this ribosomal RNA (450 nucleotides) under uncultured bacterium. RNAcentral's name for it is "partial 16S ribosomal RNA". It matches the Rfam family "Bacterial small subunit ribosomal RNA", at positions 330 to 794 of the family's 1533-position model. The record is from RNAcentral.